RNAcentral lists this ribosomal RNA (253 nucleotides) under uncultured bacterium. RNAcentral describes it as "partial 16S ribosomal RNA". It matches the Rfam family "Bacterial small subunit ribosomal RNA", at positions 524 to 776 of the family's 1533-position model. The record is from RNAcentral.
UACGUAGGGUGCGAGCGUUAAUCGGAAUUACUGGGCGUAAAGCGUGCGCAGGCGGCGCGUUAAGACAGGUGUGAAAGCCCCGGGCUUAACCUGGGAAUGGCAUUUGGGACUGCAAGGCUUGAGUUCAGGAGAGGAAGGCAGAAUUCCCGGUGUAGCGGUGAAAUGCGUAGAUAUCUGGAGGAAUACCAGUGGCGAAGGCGGCCUUCUGGACUGACACUGACGCUGAGGCGCGAAAGCCAGGGGAGCAAACGGG